UACCAGCCUAAAACAAGGAUUUGUAGUUAUGAUGGGAAGCAAAGCAAAAGCAAUGGGGUCUGGGCUGACUCCUCUUCUUGCCACUGUUUUAGUGGUGUUUGUUGCUCUUGGCUUGCCCUCAGAAACUGCAGCUGAUGAUCACUACAAGUAUUCAUCUCCUCCUCCUCCUUACACUAUCCCUCACCACCACCUCCAGUGCAUAUACCUCCACCUCAUCCUGUUUACAAGUACAAAUCUCCACCACCCCCACCACCACACCCAGUUUACAAGUAUAAGUCACCACCACCACCUCCUCAUCCGGUACCACACCCAGUUCCUCAUCCGGUGCCACACCCAGUUCCUCAUCCGGUGCCACACCCAGUUUACAAGUAUAAGUCACCACCACCACCUCCUCAUCCGGUACCACACCCAGUUCCUCAUCCGGUACCCACACCCAGUUUACAAGUAUAAGUCACACCACCACCUCCUCAUCCGGUACCACACCCAGUUUACAAGUAUAAGUCACCACCACCACCUCCUCAUCCGGUAUACAAGUAUAAGUCUCUCCGCCACCAACACCCAGUUUACAAGUAUAAGUCACCACCACCACCUCCUCAUCCGGUGCCACACCCAGUUUACCACUACAAGUCACCACCACCACCUCCUCAUCCGGUACCACACCAGUUUACCAUACAAGUCACCACCAAUCCUCACCCAGUUUACAAAUACGAGUCUCCACCACCUCCAGUUUAUAAGUACAAGUCACCACCACCUCCUCCACCAGUUUACAAGUAUAAAUCUCCUCCACCACCACCACCAGUUUACCACUACAAGUCUCCACCACCUCCUCCCCCAGUUUACAAAUACAAGUCUCCACCACCUCCUCACCACUACUAAGCAAUUGCUUCUGAGGUAAUAACACUUGUUCAAUAUACCCACUUCUGCAUGAUAAAGCAUAUCUCUAUCAACACAAACUGUCAUGUCUAUCAUGCUAAGUGCCUUCACUUCAUCCACCAAAAUGACUGCUAGAAAAUUUUUUUUAUGUUACCAAAGAAAGGCAUCAUUUUUUCCCUCUGUUAUCAAGAACUUGUACAGUAUAUAGAUUAAAGAGUUUUUAUUUUAACUAGCUUAUCAACUUAGAAAUGCAUAUAGCUGAUAACCAGCUGAAUAUUUGCAGGCAAAGGAGAAGGAAACCAUGUUUGAGACCUUCUUGAAGAUGUAGAAGCAUAAGAAUAAAAGCCCAAUGUGAAGAUGAUGAUUUCAAGUUUUUCUACGUUACCAUUUCUUUAUCUAAAUUGGUUGUAGCGCCCAAGUUCCUUUGUUUAUGGGAUUUGUAUCGUUUUACGUACCAUGCAGUACAUGUCAUGUUUGUAAGGUUUUCUAUCCUGCCGGCAAACCGCAGGUUCCAUGUGAUAAAUGAAUACUAUUUAUGUUACGACACUUUUCUCUGUUUCUCUUAUAUUUUGUCUUUAAUAUUCUUAAUCAUAUUUUUAACAAAAAUAUUCAAACA
This 1489-nucleotide long non-coding RNA is filed under the name Coffea arabica (coffee). RNAcentral describes it as "long non-coding RNA (CARA_LNC007267)". The record is from RNAcentral. Lineage: Eukaryota; Viridiplantae; Streptophyta; Magnoliopsida; Gentianales; Rubiaceae.